Molecule: ribosomal RNA, 460 nt
Filed under: uncultured bacterium
Lineage: Bacteria
Description: partial 16S ribosomal RNA
Rfam family: Bacterial small subunit ribosomal RNA
Source: RNAcentral
CCUACGGGAGGUAGCAGUGAGGAAUAUUGGUCAAUGGACGAGAGUCUGAACCAACCAAGUAGCGUGAAGGAUGACUGCCCUAUGGGUUGUAAACUUCUUUUAUAUGGGAAUAAAAUGUUCCACGUGUGGGAUUUUGUAUGUACCAUAUGAAUAAGGAUCGGCUAACUCCGUGCCAGCAGCCGCGGUAAUACGGAGGAUCCGAGCGUUAUCCGGAUUUAUUGGGUUUAAAGGGAGCGUAGGUGGAUUGUUAAGUCAGUUGUGAAAGUUUGCGGCUCAACCGUAAAAUUGCAGUUGAAACUGGCAGUCUUGAGUACAGUAGAGGUGGGCGGAAUUCGUGGUGUAGCGGUGAAAUGCUUAGAUAUCACGAAGAACUCCGAUUGCGAAGGCAGUUCACUGGACUGCAACUGACACUGAGGCUCGAAAGUGUGGGUAUCAAACAGGAUUAGAUACCCCUGUAGUC